AGCUGUGGCUGAGCAGGUGUCAGCUGCUGUCUCC
Molecule: non-coding RNA, 34 nt
Filed under: Mus musculus (house mouse)
Lineage: Eukaryota; Metazoa; Chordata; Mammalia; Rodentia; Muridae
Source: RNAcentral